GAUGAACGCUGACAGAAUGCUUAACACAUGCAAGUCGAUGGGGAAGUGGUGCUUGCACCAUGGCAACCCUGGCGGACGGGUGAGUAACGCGUAAGGGACUUACCUGCAGGACUGGGAUAACAGGGGGAAACUCCUGACAAGACCGGAUAAUGUCAUGGAGCUGCCUGGCUUUAUGAUGAAAGGAGACGCCUGCGGAGAGCCUUGCGUCCUAUUAGCUAGUUGGUGAGGUAAUGGCUCACCAAGGCGAAGAUAGGUAGCCGGCCUGAGAGGGUGGACGGCCACAAGGGGACUGAGAUACGGCCCUUACUCCUACGGGAGGCAGCAGUGGGGAAUAUUGGACAAUGGGGGCAACCCUGAUCCAGCAAUUCUGUGUGCACGAAGAAGGUUUUCGGAGUGUAAAGUGCCUUCAGCAGGGAAGAAGUAAGUGACGGUACCUGCAGAAGAAGCGACGGCUAAAUACGUG
RNAcentral lists this ribosomal RNA (463 nucleotides) under uncultured bacterium. RNAcentral describes it as "partial 16S ribosomal RNA". It matches the Rfam family "Bacterial small subunit ribosomal RNA", at positions 28 to 507 of the family's 1533-position model. The record is from RNAcentral.